Non-coding RNA from Chiloscyllium plagiosum (whitespotted bambooshark), 4209 nucleotides. NCBI's taxonomy places the organism in Eukaryota, Metazoa, Chordata, Chondrichthyes, Orectolobiformes, Hemiscylliidae. The record is from RefSeq and is a predicted model, not a curated record.
GAUAACACGGGAAUCCAUUUGAACGAAAUCUUCAUUGACAGAAUCUUGCAUCUACCCCCUUGUGUUGUGAGAUAUCGUCUGAACGUGAGUGGAGGAGGAGAAAGAAGCCGCUGUCUCCCGUUAAUGGAACUAACCAACCAACACGUAACAAAGGCUCUGAUUCAGGUCAGAGUGAGGGUUAAAGACUGUCCUACACCAGCAGGACAGGGUUUUAAAUCCACGCGUGGAGUCAACCUGAGCGAACAAUAGGAGGCUUGGUCAGAUUGACAUGUACAGUAAGUCUGAAAAGAAAAUACGUUAGGGAUGGUUAAUUUCACACAGAGGAAAGGUUCUGUAGGUUAACCAUCUCUAAAACAAUAAAUGGUUUCUCAACAAAACAGAUGCCCGGAGACGACCGAGGAGCAAUUACUAUUUACUUUUGUAAAAUAAAUUGAUUUUCAAUUUAGUAAUGUUUUGGAACGUUAACAUUAUUGAGUGAAAGAAUUCCUGUUGAUAGAAUCAGUUUAGACAUUGGACUUUUCCAACUUGCAACACAGCAGGUGGAUAGCGCAAAAGUAAAUACACAGGGGUUUAGCCUUCUGUUUCUGAUUUUUUGAAUCGUUAAAAACUGGGAGAAUGAUAAAAACAUUGUUGGCUGUGCCAACUCUUCGAAAGAACCUCAAUUUGUCAAGACUAUCGCUCUUUCGAAAGAUCCACACGGCCUGCAUUCUUUCUCUUCAGCAAGACCACAAACUUUCCACUAAAGAACUGGUAAAAAAGUAUGAAACCAACCUUGUAAAUGGUCUGACUAGUGCAAGAGCAGCUGAGAUCCUGGCUCGGGAUGGUCCCAAUGCGCUCACGCCUCCCAAACAGAUCCCUGAGAUAGUCAAGUUCUUGAAGCAAAUGAUUGGUGGAUUCUCCCUUCUGCUUUGGGUUGGAGCUAUACUCUGUUGGCUUGCUUAUGUCAUUCAAACAGGAGAAGGCAAUCAUGCAGCCAAAGACAAUUUAUAUUUAGGUGUUGUGCUGGCUGGAGUUGUCAUACUCACGGGCUGUUUUGCCUACUACCAAGAAGCAAAGAGCACCAAUAUCAUGGCCAGCUUUCACAGGAUGGUUCCUCAGCAAGCCCUUGUGAUUCGAGAUGGUGAGAAGCAAAUGAUUACAGCAGAUAAACUGGUUGUUGGCGACAUUGUGUUGAUUAAAGCUGGUGACCAAAUUCCAGCAGAUCUCCGUCUGCUCUCUGCUCAGGGUUGCAAGGUGGAUAACUCAAGCUUGACUGGCGAGUCUGAAGCACAGUCUCGUUCCACUGAAUUUACACAUGAGAAUAUCCUUGAAACAAAGAAUAUUGUGUUCUACUCCACCACUUGCCUUGAAGGCACAGCAACUGGCAUGGUGAUCAGCACCGGCGAUCAAACUAUGAUUGGAGCAAUUGCAUCUCUUGCAUCAGAAGUACAUAAUUUGAAGACACCCAUCGCGAUUGAAAUUGAACACUUUGUCUGUAUUGUUACGGGAAUGGCUGUAACUAUAGGAGUGGUGUUUUUCAUCCUUGCCAUGAGUCUGGGAUACAAACUACUGGAUUCCAUCAUCUUCUUGAUUGGCAUCAUUGUUGCUAAUGUGCCUGAAGGCCUCCUGGCCACCCUCACUGUUAGCCUCACACUGACAGCCAAAAGAAUGGCCAAAAAGAACUGCUUGGUAAAGAAUCUGGAGGCUGUUGAAACUCUGGGAUCCACAUCUGUUAUCUGCUCCGAUAAAACAGGGACACUUACACAGAAUCGCAUGACUGUAGCACAUCUUUGGUUUGAUAAUCAAAACCAUGCAGCAGAUACUAGUGAAGAACAGUCAGCUCAGCACUUUGACCAAACAUCACAAACAUGGGCAGUUCUGGCCAGGAUUAUUGCACUCUGUAAUCGAGCAGAAUUCAAACCAGGGCAGGAGGAUAUUCCAAUUAUGAAGCGGGAAAUAGUUGGCGAUGCCUCUGAAAGUGCUCUUUUGAAAUUCUCUGAAACAGUAUUUGGCAAUGUGAUGGAAUUCAGAGAGGAGAAUACUAAAAUAUUUGAAAUACCAUUCAACUCAACCAACAAAUUUCAGCUGUCCAUUCAUAGGACCAACAAUCCAUAUGACAAACGUCUCCUCUUAGUGAUGAAGGGAGCACCAGAACGUAUCUUGGAGUCUUGUUCCACUAUAAUGUUCCAGGGCAGAGAGGUUCCACUGGAUGAAAGUGAGAUAGAAGUCAUUCAGAUGGCUUAUCAUGAAUAUGGUGGGUUGGGUGAGAGAGUUCUAGGAUUUUGUCAUCAAUAUUUGCCAAAAGACAAAUAUCCAGAUUUAUACAUAUUUGAUGCAGACAGCCGAAAUUUUCCAAUUUCCAAUCUAUGCUUUGUUGGUCUUCUGUCCUUGAUUGAUCCACCUCGCUCGAGUGUGCCAGAUGCAGUUCUAAAAUGCAGAAGUGCAGGAAUUAAAGUCAUUAUGGUCUCUGGUGAUCAUCCAAUCACGGCAACCGCUAUAGCAAGGAGUACAGGCAUUAUCUCAGCAGGUAGUGAGACAGUGGAAGACAUUGCAAAGCGUCUUAAUAUCUCAGUCAACCAAGUGAAUAAAAGUGAUGCCAAAGCUGCUGUCAUAAAUGGUUCAAAUUUCCAAGACAUGGACCCUGAGUUCCUGGAUGACAUUUUGAGAAACUACACUGAAAUCGUAUUUGCCAGGACAUCACCUCAGCAGAAAUUAUAUAUCGUAGAAGCCUGCCAAAGACAGGGAUCCAUUGUGGCAGUUACUGGAGAUGGUGUUAAUGACUCACCUGCUUUGAAAAAAGCAGACAUUGGAAUAGCUAUGGGGAUCGUGGGUUCAGAUGCAGCCAAAAAUUCAGCAGAUAUGAUUCUACUGGAUGAUAACUUUGCCUCGAUAGUCACUGGAGUGGAAGAAGGUCGUCUGAUUUUUGACAAUUUGAAGAAGGCCAUUGCCUACACCUUGACCAAGAAUAUGGCUGAACUGUGUCCAUUCAUUGUGUACAUCAUUGUCAGUAUACCACUUCCCAUUGGAACUAUUACUAUUCUCCUCAUUGACCUGGGUACAGAUGUUAUCCCGUCUAUUUCAUUAGCAUAUGAGAAAGCUGAAAGAGAUAUAAUGCAUGUCCAACCCCGGAACCCCAGCAAAGAUCGAUUGGUGAACUUGCAGCUUGCAGCGUAUUCAUAUCUGCAAAUUGGAGUGAUGCAGUCCGUUGGAGGGUUUCUUUGUUAUUUUACUGUCUUGGCAGACCAAGGCUGGCUUCCUUCAAGGAUUAUUGGUAUACGCCUAGCAUGGGAAGACUCCACUAAUAAUGAUGUUGAAGACAGCUAUGGACAAGAAUGGACCUAUCAACAGAGGCUGCAUGUGGAGUGGACCUGCUACACUGCUUUCUUUGUUGGAAUUGUUAUCGAACAGCUUGCUGACUUAAUCAUUCGUAAAACCAGACGGAACUCUAUUUUCCAGCAGGGUAUAUUUGGAAAUAAAAUGCUUUGGAUCGGUCUUCUCUCUCAAGUUGGCAUUGCACUUUUGCUAUGUUAUGUUCCUGGGAUGCAAAAUAACCUUCACUUCACCUUUCUCAGGUUUCAGUACUGGUUUGUCGCAGUACCUUUUGCAAUUCUAAUAUUUGUAUAUGAUGAAAUCCGUAAAUUCUUCAUUCGCAAAUACCCUGGAAUUGCUACAAUCUAUAAAAAGGAACUACAUAUUGCUUAAAGCAAGAACAAGAAAGAGGAUGCCUGAUGAAUUUUAUACCAUGAUGAAUUGUGGUUGGUGGGACAAAAAUAUGUACUAUUGACAGUCAUCUUGUGAAACUAUAUGUGACCCCUUCACUACUGGACUGAAGUUGUCAAGUGCCCACGAGACUGGAGAAGAUAGCGAGUCUAGCCAGCAUCAGCAAGGAGGGAAGAAUCAUUACUUUGCUCUGUGUUAAAACCUCAUUGCAAUUUUCUCUUCAUCGUGGUUUGCUUCUAUAUAACUAAUGUUGGGGAGCAAUAAUUUUGAAAAUGGCAAUUUUUCUGUUUGCUGGUUACUUCACUCUACUAGUUCUCUAGAAGCAACUUAGGUUUGCGCCUAGUUUUGAAAAAAUGAUUAUAUAAUUAUAUCCCAGGCUCUUGCAGUUUGCACAAAUGAAUUUCUAAUUAAAUAAUGUCAGCACCUUAUUAAAUCAAUAGAAAACAAAAAAAAUGUAUUGCGCUUUUUCUACCAUGUAUUUUAUUAGAUUAGAUUACUUUCAGUGUGGAA